GGGGAAUUAGCUCAAGCGGUAGCGUGCUUGCUUUGCAUGCAAGAGGUAGUGGGGUCAAUGCUCACGUUCUCCA
This 73-nucleotide transfer RNA is filed under the name Chelonia mydas (Green sea turtle). It matches the Rfam family "tRNA". Rfam says of the family: Transfer RNA (tRNA) molecules are approximately 80 nucleotides in length. Their secondary structure includes four short double-helical elements and three loops (D, anti-codon, and T loops). Further hydrogen bonds mediate the characteristic L-shaped molecular structure. tRNAs have two regions of fundamental functional importance: the anti-codon, which is responsible for specific mRNA codon recognition, and the 3' end, to which the tRNAs corresponding amino acid is attached (by aminoacyl-tRNA synthetases). tRNAs cope with the degeneracy of the genetic code in two manners: having more than one tRNA (with a specific anti-codon) for a particular amino acid; and 'wobble' base-pairing, i.e. permitting non-standard base-pairing at the 3rd anti-codon position. Lineage: Eukaryota; Metazoa; Chordata; Testudines; Cheloniidae. The record is from Rfam by way of RNAcentral.